RNAcentral lists this ribosomal RNA (402 nucleotides) under Bacillus toyonensis. RNAcentral's name for it is "bacterial SSU rRNA". It matches the Rfam family "Bacterial small subunit ribosomal RNA", at positions 1019 to 1422 of the family's 1533-position model. Lineage: Bacteria; Bacillati; Bacillota; Bacilli; Caryophanales; Bacillaceae. The record is from RNAcentral.
UUCGGGAGCAGAGUGACAGGUGGUGCAUGGUUGUCGUCAGCUCGUGUCGUGAGAUGUUGGGUUAAGUCCCGCAACGAGCGCAACCCUUGAUCUUAGUUGCCAUCAUUAAGUUGGGCACUCUAAGGUGACUGCCGGUGACAAACCGGAGGAAGGUGGGGAUGACGUCAAAUCAUCAUGCCCCUUAUGACCUGGGCUACACACGUGCUACAAUGGACGGUACAAAGAGCUGCAAGACCGCGAGGUGGAGCUAAUCUCAUAAAACCGUUCUCAGUUCGGAUUGUAGGCUGCAACUCGCCUACAUGAAGCUGGAAUCGCUAGUAAUCGCGGAUCAGCAUGCCGCGGUGAAUACGUUCCCGGGCCUUGUACACACCGCCCGUCACACCACGAGAGUUUGUAACACCC